CUCAACUCUUACGUGACGCCUCUAUUUGCAUACGCGGCUGACGGUUGGCAAAUUGUGCAACUGUUUGGAAGAAUGGGGAAAAUGAGAAAACGACUCUCGGCGCC
Caenorhabditis elegans is the source of this 104-nucleotide non-coding RNA. The record is from Ensembl. Lineage: Eukaryota; Metazoa; Nematoda; Chromadorea; Rhabditida; Rhabditidae.